AACACUCUUGACUCUGCUUGGGAUUUCCCAGUGAUAAUUGUAUCGAGUGAUGAAAGAGCUGACGGCGACAUUUUAAUGUAUGAUUGGCUUGCUUGGACCAUUGGAAUGAAGUCAUUUUAUGGUGCCACCACUUGGGAUAGUAUUAGCUGCAAAUAUAGACUUGUACUCAGCACUUAUUGCCUUUGAGAAGUAUGGGAUCCUCUUUGUACCAACACCUACCGUGACACAGAAUCUUGGUUUAUACAGUCUCAUCGGAGUAACCUGUCUCAAGCAUUUAGCAAUGGGAUUGGAACCUGCGACAUAAGGUGUGACUGUGACUGUCAUCUGAGU
Molecule: long non-coding RNA, 330 nt
Organism: Saccostrea cuccullata (small rock oyster)
Lineage: Eukaryota; Metazoa; Mollusca; Bivalvia; Ostreida; Ostreidae
Exons: 3
Source: RefSeq, a predicted model, not a curated record